UACGGAGGGUGCAAGCGUUAUCCGGAUUUAUUGGGUUUAAAGGGUCCGUAGGCGGAUCUGUAAGUCAGUGGUGAAAUCUCACAGCUUAACUGUGAAACUGCCAUUGAUACUGCAGGUCUUGAGUAAGGUAGAAGUGGCUGGAAUAAGUAGUGUAGCGGUGAAAUGCAUAGAUAUUACUUAGAACACCAAUUGCGAAGGCAGGUCACUAUGUCUUAACUGACGCUGAUGGACGAAAGCGUGGGGAGCGAACAGG
Molecule: ribosomal RNA, 253 nt
Filed under: uncultured bacterium
Lineage: Bacteria
Description: partial 16S ribosomal RNA
Rfam family: Bacterial small subunit ribosomal RNA
Source: RNAcentral